CCUACGGGAGGCAGCAGUGAGGAAUAUUGGUCAAUGGGCGAGAGCCUGAACCAGCCAAGUCGCGUGAAGGAUGACGGCCCUACGGGUUGUAAACUUCUUUUGUCAGGGAGCAAUUGGUUCCACGCGUGGGCUUAGCGAGAGUACCUUAAGAAAAAGCAUCGGCUAACUCCGGGCCAGCAGCCGCGGUACUACGGAGGAUGCGAGCGUUAUCCGGUUUUAUUGGGAUUAAAGGGUGCGUCGGCGGAAGAUCACGUCAGCGGGAAAACUUCUGGGCUAAACCCCGUAGUGCCGUUGAGACUGAUGUUCUUGAGUGGGCGAGAAGUAUGCGGAAGACGUGGUGUAGCGGUGAAAUGCAUAGAUAUCACGCAGAACUCCGAUGGCGAAGGCAGCAUACCGGCGCCCAACUGACGCUGAAGCACGAAAGCGUGGGUAUCGAACAGGAUUAGAUACCCGUGUAGUC
This 460-nucleotide ribosomal RNA is filed under the name uncultured bacterium. RNAcentral describes it as "partial 16S ribosomal RNA". It matches the Rfam family "Bacterial small subunit ribosomal RNA", at positions 338 to 795 of the family's 1533-position model. The record is from RNAcentral.